This 468-nucleotide ribosomal RNA is filed under the name uncultured bacterium. RNAcentral describes it as "partial 16S ribosomal RNA". It matches the Rfam family "Bacterial small subunit ribosomal RNA", at positions 28 to 507 of the family's 1533-position model. The record is from RNAcentral.
GACGAACGCUGGCGGCGUGCUUAACACAUGCAAGUCGAACGGAAAGGCCCUGCUUUUGUGGGGUGCUCGAGUGGCGAACGGGUGAGUAACACGUGAGUAACCUGCCCUUGACUUUGGGAUAACUUCAGGAAACUGGGGCUAAUACCGGAUAGGAUCUCCUGCUGCAUGGUGGGGGUUGGAAAGUUUCGGCGGUUGGGGAUGGACUCGCGGCUUAUCAGCUUGUUGGUGGGGUAGUGGCUUACCAAGGCUUUGACGGGUAGCAUGCCUGAGAGGGUGACCGGCCACAUUGGGACUGAGAUACGGCCCAGACUCCUACGGGAGGCAGCAGUGGGGAAUAUUGCACAAUGGGCGGAAGCCUGAUGCAGCAACGCCGCGUGCGGGAUGACGGCCUUCGGGUUGUAAACCGCUUUCGCCUGUGACGAAGUGUGAGUGACGGUAAUGGGUAAAGAAGCACCGGCUAACUACGUG